GACGAACGCUGGCGGCGUGCUUAACACAUGCAAGUCGAACGGAAAGGCCCUGCUUUUGUGGGGUGCUCGAGUGGCGAACGGGUGAGUAACACGUGAGUAACCUGCCCUUGACUUUGGGAUAACUUCAGGAAACUGGGGCUAAUACCGGAUAUGAGCUCCUGCUGCAUGGUGGGGGUUGGAAAGUUUCGGCGGUUGGGGAUGGACUCGCGGGUUAUCAGCUUGUUGGUGGGGUAGUGGCUUACCAAGGCUUUGACGGGUAGCCGGCCUGAGAGGGUUACCGGCCACAAUGGGCCUGCGAUAGGGCCCAGUAUGCUACGGGACGCAGCAGGGGGGAGUAUUACACAACGGGGGGAAGCGUGAGGAGAAAACGCCGCGUUCGGGAUGACGGCCUUCGGGUGGUAAACCGCUUUCGCCUGAGACGAAGCGUGAGUGACGGUAACGGAUAAAGAAGCACCGGCUAACUACGUG
Molecule: ribosomal RNA, 468 nt
Filed under: uncultured bacterium
Lineage: Bacteria
Description: partial 16S ribosomal RNA
Rfam family: Bacterial small subunit ribosomal RNA
Source: RNAcentral